Molecule: ribosomal RNA, 468 nt
Filed under: uncultured bacterium
Lineage: Bacteria
Description: partial 16S ribosomal RNA
Rfam family: Bacterial small subunit ribosomal RNA
Source: RNAcentral
GACGAACGCUGGCGGCGUGCUUAACACAUGCAAGUCGAACGGAAAGGCCCUGCUUUUGUGGGGUGCUCGAGUGGCGAACGGGUGAGUAACACGUGAGUAACCUGCCCUUGACUUUGGGAUAACUUCAGGAAACUGGGGCUAAUACCGGAUAGGAGCUCCUGCUGCAUGGUGGGGGUUGGAAAGUUUCGGCGGUUGGGGAUGGACUCGCGGCUUAUCAGCUUGUUGGUGGGGUAGUGGCUUACCAAGGCUUUGACGGGUAGCCGGCCUGAGAGGGUGACCGGCCACAUUGAGACUGAGAUACGGCCCAGACUCCUACGGGAGGCAGCAGUGGGGAAUAUUGCACAAUGGGCGGAAGCCUGAUGCAGCAACGCCGCGUGCGGGAUGACGGCCUUCGGGUUGUAAACCGCUUUCGCCUGUGACGAAGCGUGAGUGACGGAAAUGGGUAAAGAAGCACCGGCUAACUACGUG